UACGUAGGGUGCAAGCGUUAAUCGGAAUUACUGGGCGUAAAGCGUGCGUAGACGGUUAUGUAAGUCGGGUGUGAAAGCCCCGGGCUCAACCUGGGAAUGCCAUUCGAGACUGCAUAGCUAGGGUGCGGAAGAGGGAAGCGGAAUUUCAGGUGUAGCGGUGAAAUGCGUAGAUAUCUGAAGGAACACCAGUGGCGAAAGCGGCUUCCUGGUCCAGCACCGACGUUCAGGCACGAAAGCGUGGGGAGCAAACAGG
This 253-nucleotide ribosomal RNA is filed under the name uncultured bacterium. Its description in RNAcentral is "partial 16S ribosomal RNA". It matches the Rfam family "Bacterial small subunit ribosomal RNA", at positions 524 to 776 of the family's 1533-position model. The record is from RNAcentral.